CGGACGGGUGAGUAAUGUCUGGGAAACUGCCCGAUGGAGGGGGAUAACUACUGGAAACGGUAGCUAAUACCGCAUAACGUCGCAAGACCAAAGAGGGGGACCUUCGGGCCUCUUGCCAUCGGAUGUGCCCAGAUGGGAUUAGCUAGUAGGUGGGGUAACGGCUCACCUAGGCGACAUCCCUAGCUGGUCUGAGAGGAUGACCAGCCACACUGGAACUGAGACACGGUCCAG
Molecule: ribosomal RNA, 231 nt
Filed under: uncultured bacterium
Lineage: Bacteria
Description: partial 16S ribosomal RNA
Rfam family: Bacterial small subunit ribosomal RNA
Source: RNAcentral